GAUGAACGCUGGCGGCGUGCCUAAUACAUGCAAGUCGAGCGAACGGACGAGAAGCUUGCUUCUCUGAUGUUAGCGGCGGACGGGUGAGUAACACGUGGAUAACCUACCUAUAAGACUGGGAUAACUUCGGGAAACCGUAGCUAAUACCGGAUAAUAUUUUGAACCGCAUGGUUCAAAAGUGAAAGACGGUCUUGCUGUCACUUAUAGAUGGAUCCGCGCUGCAUUAGCUAGUUGGUAAGGUAACGGCUUACCAAGGCAACGAUGCAUAGCCGACCUGAGAGGGUGAUCGGCCACACUGGAACUGAGACACGGUCCAGACUCCUACGGGAGGCAGCCGUAGGGAAUCUUCCGCAAUGGGCGAAAGCCUGACGGAGCAACGCCGCGUGAGUGAUGAAGGUCUUCGGAUCGUAAAACUCUGUUAUUAGGGAAGAACAUAUGUGUAAGUAACUGUGCACAUCUUGACGGUACCUAAUCAGAAAGCCACGGCUAACUACGUG
This 497-nucleotide ribosomal RNA is filed under the name uncultured bacterium. RNAcentral's name for it is "partial 16S ribosomal RNA". It matches the Rfam family "Bacterial small subunit ribosomal RNA", at positions 28 to 507 of the family's 1533-position model. The record is from RNAcentral.